Molecule: small nuclear RNA, 137 nt
Organism: Marchantia polymorpha subsp. polymorpha
Lineage: Eukaryota; Viridiplantae; Streptophyta; Marchantiopsida; Marchantiales; Marchantiaceae
Rfam family: U4 spliceosomal RNA
About the family: U4 small nuclear RNA (U4 snRNA) is a component of the major U2-dependent spliceosome.
Source: Rfam
AUCUUUGAGCUUGGGGCAAUGACACAGUUAGUGAGGUGAAACCGAGACGCGUCAAUUGCUGGUUGAAAACUAUUUCCAAAUUAUUUAUGAUACUAAUACAAUAGAUUUUUGUAAAAUUAUGACAUGAACAACUCUUU